CAGGACCAAAGGAAGGAAAAGGCAUGGCAGCAGGAGAGCAGGUUCAGAGGGAUCAAAUCGCUGGGGCUCCAGUGGAGGGGAUCCAACAGGCCCUGAGAGGAUUGGAUCUGCAUGCUGUGGACCCUCUCAGGGUGCAGAGGCGUGAUCUGAUGAAAUAUUCCUGUGAACUCACACUGGACACAAACA
This is a long non-coding RNA of Sander lucioperca (pikeperch), 186 nucleotides long. RefSeq lists it as uncharacterized. The transcript has 4 exons. NCBI's taxonomy places the organism in Eukaryota, Metazoa, Chordata, Actinopteri, Perciformes, Percidae. The record is from RefSeq and is a predicted model, not a curated record.